This 61-nucleotide transfer RNA is filed under the name Antricola marginatus. Its description in RNAcentral is "tRNA-Trp". The record is from RNAcentral. Lineage: Eukaryota; Metazoa; Arthropoda; Arachnida; Ixodida; Argasidae.
AAGACUUUAAGUUAAAAAAACUAUAUACCUUCAAAGUAUAAAAUAAAAUAAUUAAGUCUUA